This is a long non-coding RNA of Lacerta agilis (Sand lizard), 167 nucleotides long. RefSeq lists it as uncharacterized. The record is from RefSeq and is a predicted model, not a curated record. NCBI's taxonomy places the organism in Eukaryota, Metazoa, Chordata, Lepidosauria, Squamata, Lacertidae. The transcript has 2 exons.
UUCAAAAAUAUUUUCGUGACCACAGACUUCGUAUCUCAUUUCCGGGCGGGCCGAUGGACGACGAAAACCGGGUCAUCUCUGGAGCUAGGAACGGAACUACUCGGAAGAGCUCGGCUCGGCUGAACCCAGCACGUUUCGUCGGGGAAGGAAUUAAAUGCUGGAAGGAG